RNAcentral lists this ribosomal RNA (467 nucleotides) under uncultured bacterium. RNAcentral describes it as "partial 16S ribosomal RNA". It matches the Rfam family "Bacterial small subunit ribosomal RNA", at positions 29 to 507 of the family's 1533-position model. The record is from RNAcentral.
ACGAACGCUGGCGGCGUGCUUAACACAUGCAAGUCGCACGGAAAGGCCCUGCUUUUGUGGGGUGCUCGAGUGGCGAACGGGUGAGUAACACGUGAGUAACCUGCCCUUGACUUUGGGAUAACUUCAGGAAACUGGGGCUAAUACCGGAUAGGAGCUCCUGCUGCAUGGUGGGGGUUGGAAAGUUUCGGCGGUUGGGGAUGGACUCGCGGCUUACCAGCUUGUUGGUGGGGUAGUGGCUUACCAAGGCUUUGACGGGUAGCCGGCCUGAGCGGGUGACCGGCCACAUUGGGACUGAGAUACGGCCCAGACUCCUACGGGAGGCAGCAGUGGGGAAUAUUGCACAAUGGGCGGAAGCCUGAUGCAGCAACGCCGCGUGCGGGAUGACGGCCUUCGGGUUGUAAACCGCUUUCGCCUGUGACGAAGCGUGAGUGACGGUAAUGGGUAAAGAAGCACCGGCUAACUACGUG